GUUAUGUGGGUUCUAGUGUUAUGGACUCUCGCACUUUCUUGCUAUUCUGGUUUGCAAAUACUGCUGUCUUUGUGCUAACAAUUCUACGGAUGAUGAGAGUUGGGGUCCCAAGAGACCGUGCGGCUUUGUUGACACGAUCGGUGAUGCUGUUGUUUUCUUGCUACACGUUUUCAAUGUCGGUCAUAUCACCAACUAAAGCAUGGUCCAAUUUUAAUCUGAUUUUGUUUUUAGCAGUUGUACUGCCAUUUUUUUUGGUUCGAUUGCUCAGGUGCUUUCUUCGUGGUCGCGGACAUAUGGGCCUUAACAGUGGAUGGAGGAGACGACGCGUGCAUAUACACAUAAGAGAAGAAUGGUGGUAAUAGAUAUAGUAUCAUACUGAAGCAUGGAUUAAUUCUAUGUUCAUUAUCGUUGACAAUCACCUAUUGUUAUCUGUGGUGGCAGACAAAGCAAACAAGAUCACAUUUUCUAGAAAACUGUAGCAGUUGCUUUCUUUUGAUGCAUACUGAUGGAUUAAAGAUUAAAGAUAGAUGCUUUACCCUUUUUCCAUGGAGGCUUUGCCUGCUCUUUAAGGGGAAGCUGUGGCCUUUAAUACUGCCAUAAGCUUCAUUACUACUAAAGGAAUAUAAAGUAAGUUUACCGCAGUGGCUACAUUGAUAAUAGCCUUAGUAGCAUUUUAAAG
RNAcentral lists this unclassified non-coding RNA (679 nucleotides) under Hevea brasiliensis (rubber tree). Lineage: Eukaryota; Viridiplantae; Streptophyta; Magnoliopsida; Malpighiales; Euphorbiaceae. The record is from RNAcentral.